This 618-nucleotide ribosomal RNA is filed under the name uncultured bacterium. RNAcentral describes it as "bacterial SSU rRNA". It matches the Rfam family "Bacterial small subunit ribosomal RNA", at positions 55 to 660 of the family's 1533-position model. The record is from RNAcentral.
AUGCAAGUCGAACGGUAUCAGGAGAAAGCUUGCUUUCUCGCUGACGAGUGGCGGACGGGUGAGUAACGCGUAGGAAUCUACCUUGUAGCGGGGGACAACUCGAGGAAACUCGAGCUAAUACCGCAUAAUCUCUACGGAGCAAAGAGGGCCUCUAUUUAUAUGCUCUCACUAUAAGAUGAGCCUGCGUCGGAUUAGCUUGUUGGUGGGGUAAAGGCCUACCAAGGCAACGAUCCGUAGCUGGUCUGAGAGGACGAUCAGCCACACUGGGACUGAGACACGGCCCAGACUCCUACGGGAGGCAGCAGUGGGGAAUAUUGGACAAUGGGCGAAAGCCUGAUCCAGCAAUGCCGCGUGUGUGAAGAAGGCCUUCGGGUUGUAAAGCACUUUCAGUAGGGAAGAAAUGCCUAAGGUUAAUACCCUUAGGAGUUGACGUUACCUACAGAAGAAGCACUGGCUAACUCUGUGCCAGCAGCCGCGGUAAUACAGAGAGUGCGAGCGUUAAUCGGAAUUACUGGGCGUAAAGCGCACGUAGGUGGAUACUUAAGUCGGAUAUGAAAGCCCUGAGCUUAACUCGGGAACUGCAUUCGAUACUGGGUAUCUAGAGUAUAGUAGAGGGAA